ACGAGUGGAGGAUGGGCAGAGAGAGAAGGAAUCUGAUGCAAGCUCCAUGUUCCAAGCUCCAAACUGUCAGCACAGAGCCUGACAUGGGGCUCGAACCCACAAACCAUGAGAUCAUGACCUGAGCUGAAGUCAGACACUUAAGUGACUGAGCCACCCAGGCACACCUGCUUGGAAAUCUUCUAAUGAAAGGAAACCUAUAUUUCAAGCAUAGAACUCCAUCUACUGCUUUUCAUCAUGGUGUACUGAGAAGACCAGUCGGCAGGGAAAACCGUGGACUCACCCAAGCUCUGUCACGAGGCGUGCCCAGAUUUUUUCCCUGAGUUCCAGUCCUCGAUGCCCACAUCUCUCACCUUCAUCUCUUUUUUGAGCCUCACCAGUCCCCAAAUCAAAGUUUUCUCCAGGUAAGUGCUUUGUUGCAGCUCUAUCUUUACAUGUUUGUAAUUCAUAAAAUGAAAAGCCCCAAGCAUUAUUCAUGUUUCUAUUCCUAGUACCUAUCAUAGC
Molecule: long non-coding RNA, 501 nt
Organism: Leopardus geoffroyi (Geoffroy's cat)
Lineage: Eukaryota; Metazoa; Chordata; Mammalia; Carnivora; Felidae
Exons: 3
Source: RefSeq, a predicted model, not a curated record